This 20-nucleotide non-coding RNA is filed under the name Arabidopsis thaliana (thale cress). Lineage: Eukaryota; Viridiplantae; Streptophyta; Magnoliopsida; Brassicales; Brassicaceae. The record is from RNAcentral.
AGCCUUGAACUAUUGAGACC